Long non-coding RNA from Monomorium pharaonis (pharaoh ant), 5028 nucleotides. RefSeq lists it as uncharacterized. The transcript has 2 exons. The record is from RefSeq and is a predicted model, not a curated record. NCBI's taxonomy places the organism in Eukaryota, Metazoa, Arthropoda, Insecta, Hymenoptera, Formicidae.
CGAAGGCGAGAAGACGCCCUCGCUGAACCAAACAGCUCUCUAUCGUAAAAAAAAGAAGCUCGAUGAAUUUUACAAAACAAGCUCUGUUCCGCCGGUCUAUUAAUCAUUCUGGUUAAUGACUGGAAUAUUGAACGAGCUACAGUUUUCACGCUUCGAGCACCGAUGUUCUUCGUUAACGUACACGACGGGGAUCUUCGUCGGCGCAGUCGUCUUCAUCUUCGUCGCCGUUGUCGUCGUCGUCGUCGUCAUUGGACUUUUCCCCUCGGUGGAAGGCAGUGACGCGUAUGUACGUGUGUACGUAUACCGUCCGGCAACACACAUGCCUCGGGAGUAAUGGAUGUGUUACACGGCCGAGGAUUCAGAGAAACACGGACACGUACGGGACGACACGUAUGGGAGGGACGGGCGGACGGACAGACGAAUGGGAGACUGUUACACCCAAUUGUCCCUCGUUGCGCAGGGGUCAAGUAAGGUAGCCAACCGGCCACGCCGGAUACCGUGGUCGCCUGUGGCUUCACGGAUAACGGCGACGUUACUCCAUAAUCGUACUACAUUUUAAUCUUAACUUCCCAAAUUUUCAUGUUACCGCGUGUGACGGAAGCUUUUCACGACUCCUAAUCUCGAGCGCGUUUAACGACGGAGUAAUUUCCCAUUCAAUUCUAAUAAGCGGCAAUAAAACUAAAAUGACUCCAGGUAGACGAGAGGAAAAAAAUGACAUUUCUGAUCCCGAUAUUUACGACUGCAAGGAAAAUUAUAUAUAAGACGAAAUACGAGAUAAAUUAUGAAAUAAUUUCCAGUAUAUCUUCACGGAGUAGAUAAAUUAAAGGGAGAUUGCAAUUUCAAUUUUUUUUUUUUCAAACGGGAGUUAGACGGAGUGUCAUUUCUAAUCACAGAGGAUAAAUAAUUCGUUCGCCUCUCAUCGAUUUACGUUUGCGCUUUUACAUCGUCUUUGGACGAUGCGCAAAGCGCAACGAAGACUUGGCAAAGUUGCACGUCUUUCCUGUCGACGCCACUGGAUUCGUCCGCCGCCGCUCGCCGCCGUCGCCGCCAUCGUCGUCAUCGUCUUUUUAUUUCUUCUUCUUUUUUGGGGGCGCACACGUGUGAGGUUAUCCCGUUGACGGUGACCCCGUCGUCCUCCUACCGACGCGUCUCCUCCUCCUCCUCCUCCUCCUCCUCCUCUUACUUCGCAUUUGCUUUCCAGAUCAGAAGAGCUCCUCCAACGAUCGGCUCUCCGCCGGUCUCCCCCUGACGCAACCUGGACUUCGCCACUUUGGAAACGUAUGCCGGUGACGUCAUGCGACGUCCUCUCGUCUCCUCCUUCUCUCGGCUGCCUUAUAUAUCGACGAAUGCUUUCUUCGUCGAAUCUACUUCUCCUGCAAUCGCACGAUCACGCGUAUCCUUGGAGGGCGAAAAAUCAGCCGAGGAAUCUGACUUUUCCUCGACACGCAUCUCGAUGCGAUCUUCCGACAAACACGAAUGCAACUCACCUCGCGGAUCUCGCAAUCUCUUCAAGAUGCCGCAAGGCCAAUCUCAUUUCGCGACGGUGAUGAACCUCGAGGCGUCGAGGUUUGGCGCUUAUUGCGUCAACUGUGACGAUUCAAUUUUGCCGUUCAAAGACAAAAAUAGAGAUUGUCUCGCGAUCGUCCGCGCGAUCCAUCACUUCGAUGAACGAUGAUCAGCGACGACGUUUUGUGAUAAUGGCGAGAGGACUGUAAACAUUCUGGGAUGAUGACACAGUGCGGGCGAAUUAAACGGUAAAAGUACACCAGGGGAAAAAAAUAAAAGCACGCCGAAGAAGGGCGUAGCGUUGGUAAUUGCCGGCGGCCUUGAGAUCCGUUCACCAUAGGAGCCUACGUAUAUUUAUGCGACGCCAGAUUUGGUAGGCAAAUGAGUCGAAAUUGAGAGUCGCCCGGUAUACCGUCCAAGAGAAAGAGAGAGAGAGACCGAGAAGAGGGAGAGAAGAAUCGGCGACAGGCGAAUCGCGACGGUAGGUGUUUUGCCCCGGUUAAAACACAUAGCGGAGAGAUCACCGGUAGGCCACAAUCAUUUCCCCAUUAUCCAAAGAGCUACCCAGAAGAGGCAACUAAAUCGACCACUCGAGCGAGCGUUCUCGGCGAGCAAUCAUCCUAACGGGCCCAAUUCGGUCCUCCUUUUGCGUCGCGGUCGGUGCGGCCGGCCGUGUUCCGGGUCCCCGACGAGCUUGACCUUUUCUUUAUUCCCAUUGCGUAGUUUAAUUGCUAUAAGUUUUCCUUGAUUUAUCACGAAUUAUUUUCGUAUUUCUGAAUCUAACUGACGAAAUACAUUUCGUAACAAAUUACACUUUCUUACUGCGCGCUGAAAACUUCUACAUUAAAAAGACAAAUAAAUAUCGUUAUCUAUUCGAUAAUUUUUCUAAUUCUCGAUUAUAAUGUUAUGAUAACUCAGCGCAAAUUGGAAUCUACUAUGAUCGAGUAUAAUGAUCAUGUUUUCUCUCGCACUUCCCGCAUCGCUCUAUCACCAGUGUUUUCAUUGAGAAAACAAAAAUAUUAUUAAUUUUUAUAUAUGCAUUACACUAGAAAAAGACAUUAAAUUCAUUUUCAAGUUAUGUUAUGAAUGAUUACAUUUAUUUCUUGUGGAAAGUCGAUUACUUUAGAAAUGUCGCGGAGGAAAACAGGACAGACAAUGCCGCUCUACAGGGGCAAUCUCGAAAGAAGACUUUCCCGUCUUUCUGGUUCGUGAGGUUCGUGAAUCUCUCUCGUUAGUCUCGCGCGGCUUCGACGAGUAAUUCAGCAUCUUCACUUGUCCAGAGAGACAAAAGACAAUCGCCUCGAACGAUCUCGCGGCGGUGUCCGAUCUCGCUGCCGCCGCCGUGCCGGUUGCCGUUGACGUUGAUUGGUUGGACACCGGCUACUGGUCCCGGUUGACCCCUAACCCCGGCAACUCGCUCGCCUUUAUCGUCUGGAAUUGCUGUGUUGGUGGCGAGUUGGUACAACACAACGCAGCCUCCUCCCCCUCGCGCGCGCGCGCGCGCGCGCGCGCCCGCGGUGGCCUCAUCGUCUCCGCUCUCGCUCGUUGUUGUACACGCGCGCGUAACCGUGUACUACACGCAUCUCUCGUGGAUGCCGCGCCGGGCGGCUGCACGGUGGGAGCGGAAUUCUGUGCGGAGCGACAAACAAUUGCCGCCAAGUGGCUUAAUUGCAGCCAACUAAACAAAUGUUUCCAACCGUAUCUGCCCGCCGAGAGAACGGCGCUCGCGAAGAGAGCGUGUGGCCCUCUCUCUCCUCUUUUCUCUCUUCUCGCACCGCGGCAAUUCCUUCUCUUUUAUAUAUAGUUCUGAUUCCAGAUGCCUCCCCUUCCCUCCUCGGAAGAGGGAGAGAGCUUAUCGUUCCGGAGUCCUACCGGGGCUCAACUGAAGAGGAGAUCUCUCCGUCCUCUUUCCUCUCUUCUUCGUCCCGACCACGUCAUACGUUCCCGCGUACGAAGUGAAUGCGUGCGCGGGAAUCGAGGCGCGGUUCGCGCUCGUUGUGUUAACGAGAUGUGACCUCGACGACGAGCGUUGAGAAACAGAAGUCUCAUCUCCGAGAUCAUCGUGGAGAUCGCAACGAGGUAGUCGGAGAGGCGGAAUCGUUAGCGCACGACGCACAUCCAGGGGGAUCUUAAACGACGCGGCUGCUCUUAGCUCUGUUUUAAUACCCUCCGCUCCUUCCGCUCGCUUCUGUCCUCGUCCUCGCGCUUCAUGCCUGGAAGACGUCGGGAUCGUUUCUCAUUCGCCGCAGUCGUCGUAGGUGUAUAUACGGCCGGCCGGUUGCACGCGCGGCGAGAUUCCCAUUUAUCAGGGUACAUCCGCCGGAAGUGGGGCGGCCCCCGUGCGUAGGUGAGACGGAGAAGAAGCGAGAAAGAGAAAGAGGAACGCGUAGUGUCUGCUGGAGAAGCGGGAGGACCGGGGAUCUUUGUUUAUUAAUACCUGCGACAUCAUCGGAGUCCUUGGACGCGGCGAAUGAAAUCAGUACGAUACCGACGUGCAUUCAGAUUUCGACACUACAGUCUACCUAUCACCUUACCUAAUAUGAAUCAUCUUUCGUUUUUUUUUUCCCCCUUAACGUGAUACUAUAUUUCCGUUUCAGUUCUGCGCAUCCUUGAUCCGAUCUUAUUGUAUAUUUUGUAAGCUACUUUAUUGGAUGGAAAAUUACGCUUCAGAGAUGUAUGAGUAACAAUCAAGUAUUAUCCGAGUACCGUUUGCCGGACAACGAGUUCCGUAUGCAACGUGAAUUCCACGCGGCUUCUUAUAUCACCUCGCCGCCGCCUCCGUGUCCUUGUCGCAGAUUAAACGCAACAAUUCGCAGAUAUCCUGACGCGUAGGAUAACUUCGCAACGGCGAUGGUAUCAAUUACUAGAAUACCGCUGCGGAGCUCGUCGCCGAUCAACUCCUUCCCAGAAGGUAACCCGCCGCGAUUAUCUUUAAUGGCAAACACCUUGACGGUGUGCCAGGCCGAGCGCGAGAUCGAGACCUCCGGGACAAGCGGCGCGGCACGGUUGAUCGCGAGGCGAUUCUUGAAAUCGCAAAGGCGGGGCCUCGGAUCGCGGGAAUCUAUCGGAGAGUUUCCCCCGCUGAGACCAAAUUGUGAGGCAGGUUUUAUUUUCCGCCUACAUUUUCUAUUUUAUCUUAUCUCGGGUUUAUAUAUCUUUAUCUUAUACACUCCUCCUAACAUCUGGACCUUUAUCUUUCUCUCAUCCGACUCCUCGAUUCACAUCACAAAGGGGGACUCAUUAUAAUCGAUAGAUACCUAUAGAUACUAUCGCGACCGGGUCCGCGAAAAUCAUGCUAUAUUAAAUUCUUAAUGAAAGAUUCUUAAAAUAACCUUCCGCGAGUGCACAGCUGGAAAUCAACGGUAUAGCCGGUGGGAGGAAAGAGAGAGAGAGAAAUAGAGUAAGAUGCCCGGCCAAUAAAUUCCACCGAUUAUUAAACAGGAUUCUGUGCCCGGCUUCUAAUAUACUGAUGUACCUCUGAAUGCGUCGUCCCAUUAAUCCGUUUCACUCGAAAAAAAGAAA